RNAcentral lists this transfer RNA (86 nucleotides) under Cordylochernes scorpioides. Its description in RNAcentral is "tRNA-Glu". Lineage: Eukaryota; Metazoa; Arthropoda; Arachnida; Pseudoscorpiones; Chernetidae. The record is from RNAcentral.
GAGGGGGUCGGUGAAAGGCUGGUUAAACCGUUUGGUUUUCGACCACUAGGACCCGGGUUCGAUUCCCGCACUGGACACUUUUUUCU